ACGUAGGGACCAAGCGUUGUUCGGAUUUACUGGGCGUAAAGGGCGCGUAGGCGGCCUAGCAAGUCACUUGUGAAAUCUCCGGGCUUAACUCGGAACUGCCAAGUGAAACUGCCAGGCUAGAGUGCAGAAGGGGCAAUCGGAAUUCUUGGUGUAGCGGUGAAAUUCGUAGAUAUUCGCAAGAACACCAGUGGCGAAGGCGGCUUACUGGUCCGGUUCUGACGCUGAGGCGCGAAAGCGUGGGGAGCAAACAGGA
Molecule: ribosomal RNA, 253 nt
Filed under: uncultured prokaryote
Description: partial 16S ribosomal RNA
Rfam family: Bacterial small subunit ribosomal RNA
Source: RNAcentral